Molecule: long non-coding RNA, 657 nt
Filed under: Salmo salar (Atlantic salmon)
Lineage: Eukaryota; Metazoa; Chordata; Actinopteri; Salmoniformes; Salmonidae
Description: lncRNA (ENSSSAG00000119775.1, ENSSSAG00075045314.1)
Source: RNAcentral
GUUUCCAAGCGCGUGGAGGAAAGCGCAUUCUUUGUUAUUUAUCUCCGGUAAAGACAAUAACGAUUCUCCGUCUUAAAUUUUAUUGUUUAUUUGCGUAUUAUGGUACCUAAGGUUUGAUUAUAAACGUUGAUUGACUUGUUUGGAUAGGUUUAUUGGUAACAUUUAGGAUUCAUUUUGUAUGCAUUUUGAAGGAGGGAAAACGUUGGAUUAUUGACUGAAGCGCACCAGCUAAACUGAGUUUUUAUGGAUAUAAGGAAGGACUUUAUUGAACAAAAGGACCAUUUGGGACCAAAAGGACCAUUUGUAAUGAGACCUUUUGGAGUGCCAACAGAAGAAGAUCUUCAAAGAUCAAGGUGGGGACGGUUGCACCCCCUGUUUCUGAGACACUUCCAACCACCAACAUGCCCCCUCCUGAGUAUGAGGAGGAGGUUACCUCCUCCUCACACUGACUUCAUCAAGCUCGAACAACAACAUCCAGACUCUCCCCGUGGACACAUUCUGUUACAGCCAUGACUGUAACUAUAUACGAUGCUCCCUGGAAGACAUCAGGCUGGACAGAAAUCCCAUAAACAUCAACCUGUACGCCUCCUCCUAUAUCUGCCUGCCUCACCUGCCCGUCGGGAGUCACUGAGGGGGGGCAUUGAGGGGGCAUGGGGG